ACAAAAACAAGGCAGGGAGCCGAAGUGUGUCUUUUCUCAAUCCUUUCACCCCCCCACUCAGGAUCACCAGGGCCUGAGUUUUGGCCGUAAGAAGUGGCGUCGUAACAGGACUGCGUUCGGGGUAAUUAAAAAGUGGUCAGGUGAAAGGAGGCUCCAAGGUGCGCAGAGAGUAAGCUUAAAAAGCAAAAGUAAGAAGGCCAAAAAACAAAAUGAGACCGAGAUUGUAAGCUCUUGCGGCAGCUGCAUUGUUUCUAGGCUUUGGUUAUCUUUGUGCGACCUGAUCGCUCCCUGGGACUCUGGGUCUGUGUGAGAUGCCAGACCCGGAGUGGGAAGUCUCCAGCUCUGCAGGACCCAGGGCUGCUCGUUCCCAUGCAGCAGCGG
This is a long non-coding RNA of Myotis davidii, 381 nucleotides long. RefSeq lists it as uncharacterized. Lineage: Eukaryota; Metazoa; Chordata; Mammalia; Chiroptera; Vespertilionidae. The record is from RefSeq and is a predicted model, not a curated record. The transcript has 2 exons.